Molecule: ribosomal RNA, 301 nt
Filed under: uncultured bacterium
Lineage: Bacteria
Description: partial 16S ribosomal RNA
Rfam family: Bacterial small subunit ribosomal RNA
Source: RNAcentral
CAGCAGCCACGGGAAUACGUAGGGUGCGAGCGUUAAUCGGAAUUACUGGGCGUAAAGCGUGCGCAGGCGGUUGUGUAAGACAGGUGUGAAAUCCCCGGGCUUAACCUGGGAACUGCGCUUGUGACUGCACAGCUAGAGUAUGGCAGAGGGGGGUGGAAUUCUACGUGUAGCAGUGAAAUGCGUAGAGAUGUGGAGGAACACCGAUGGCGAAGGCAGCCCCCUGGGCCAAUACUGACGCUCAUGCACGAAAGCGUGGGGAGCAAACAGGAUUAGAGACCCGUGUAGUCCCUGUCUCUUAUAC